GAUGAACGCUGGCGGCGUGCCUAAUACAUGCAAGUCGAGCGAACAGACGAGGAGCUUGCUCCUCUGAUGUUAGCGGCGGACGGGUGAGUCACACGUGGAUAACCUACCUAUAAGACUGGGAUAACUUCGGGAAACCGGAUCUAAUACCGGAUAACAUGUUGAACCGCAUGGUUCAACAGUUAAAGACGUUCUUGCUGUCACUAUUCGCUGGUUCCGCGCUGCAUUAGCUAGUUGGUAAGGUAACGGCUUACCAAGGCAACGCUGCGUAGCGGACCUGAGAGGAUGAUAAGCAACAUUGGAACUGAGAAACGGUCCAGCGUCCUAGGGGAGGCAGCAGUGGGGAAUAUUGGACAAUGGGCGAAAGCCUGAAGGAGCAACGCAGCGUGGGUGAAGAAGGUCUUCGGAUUGUAAAACACUUUUAUUGGGGAAGAAAAGAUGUAAGUGAAAACAUGGAUGUUUUGACGGUACAAAAAGAAAAAGCACCGGAUAACUACGUG
RNAcentral lists this ribosomal RNA (497 nucleotides) under uncultured bacterium. RNAcentral's name for it is "partial 16S ribosomal RNA". It matches the Rfam family "Bacterial small subunit ribosomal RNA", at positions 28 to 507 of the family's 1533-position model. The record is from RNAcentral.